RNAcentral lists this ribosomal RNA (648 nucleotides) under uncultured Bacteroidota bacterium. RNAcentral's name for it is "bacterial SSU rRNA". It matches the Rfam family "Bacterial small subunit ribosomal RNA", at positions 61 to 710 of the family's 1533-position model. The record is from RNAcentral. Lineage: Bacteria; Pseudomonadati; Bacteroidota.
GUCGAGGGGUAUAGGUUUUCGGACCUAGAGACCGGCGCACGGGUGCGUAACGCGUAUGCAAUCUACCUUUUACAGAGGGAUAGCCCAGAGAAAUUUGGAUUAAUACCUCAUAGUAUUACGACUCGGCAUCGAGAUGUAAUUAAAGUCACAACGGUAAAAGAUGAGCAUGCGUCCCAUUAGCUUGUUGGUAAGGUAACGGCUUACCAAGGCAACGAUGGGUAGGGGUCCUGAGAGGGAGAUCCCCCACACUGGUACUGAGACACGGACCAGACUCCUACGGGAGGCAGCAGUGAGGAAUAUUGGUCAAUGGGCGCAAGCCUGAACCAGCCAUGCCGCGUGCAGGAUGAAGCAUCUAUGGUGUGUAAACUGCUUUUGUACGAGAAGAAACACUCCUACGUGUAGGAGCUUGACGGUAUCGUAAGAAUAAGGACCGGCUAACUCCGUGCCAGCAGCCGCGGUAAUACGGAGGGUCCAAGCGUAAUCCGGAAUCAUUGGGUUUAAAGGGUCCGUAGGCGGUUUUGUAAGUCAGUGGUGAAAGCCCAUCGCUCAACGGUGGAACGGCCAUUGAUACUGCAAGACUUGAAUUAUUGGGAAGCAACUAGAAUAUGUAGUGUAGCGGUGAAAUGCUUAGAGAUUACAUGGAAUACC